This 483-nucleotide ribosomal RNA is filed under the name uncultured bacterium. RNAcentral's name for it is "partial 16S ribosomal RNA". It matches the Rfam family "Bacterial small subunit ribosomal RNA", at positions 28 to 507 of the family's 1533-position model. The record is from RNAcentral.
GACGAACGCUGGCGGCGUGCUUAACACAUGCAAGUCGAACGCUGAAGCUCAGCUUUUGUUGGGUGGAUGAGUGGCGAACGGGUGAGUAACACGUGAGUAACCUGCCCCCUUCUUUGGGAUAACGCCCGGAAACGGGUGCUAAUACUGGAUAUUCACUGGUCUUCGCAUGGGGGUUGGUGGAAAGGGUUUUUCUGGUGGGGGAUGGGCUCGCGGCCUAUCAGCUUGUUGGUGGGGUGAUGGCCUACCAAGGCUUUGACGGGUAGCCGGCCUGAGAGGGUGACCGGUCACAUUGGGACUGAGAUACGGCCCAGACUCCUACGGGAGGCGGCAGUGGGGAAUAUUGCACAAUGGGCGCAAGCCUGAUGCAGCGACGCCGCGUGAGGGAUGGAGGCCUUCGGGCUGUGAACCUCUUUCGCUCAUGGUCAAGCCGCAACAAUGGUUGUGGUGAGGGUAGUGGGUAAAGAAGCGCCGGCUAACUACGUG